GUGCAGCAGGCGCGAAACUUCACAAUGUGCGAAAGCACGAUGAGGGAAUCCCAAGUGCUUGCACGUAAGUGUAAGCUGUUUCUCUGUCUAAAACGCAGAGAGAGUAAGGGCUGGGUAAGACGGGCGCCAGCCGCCGCGGUAAUACCUGCAGCUCGAGUGGUGACCGUUAUUAUUGGGCCUAAAACGUCCGUAGCCGGUUUAAUAAAUGCCUGGGUAAAUCGGACCGCUUAACGGUUCGAAUUCCGGGUAGACUGUUAAACUUGAGACCGGGAGAAGUUAGAGGUACUCCUGGGGUAGAGGUGAAAUUCUGUAAUCCUAGGGGGACCACCAGUGGCGAAGGCGUCUAACUAGAACGGGUCUGACGGUGAGGGACGAAGCCCUGGGGCGCAAACGGGAUUAGAUACCCGUGUAGU
RNAcentral lists this ribosomal RNA (413 nucleotides) under uncultured microorganism. RNAcentral's name for it is "bacterial SSU rRNA". It matches the Rfam family "Archaeal small subunit ribosomal RNA", at positions 330 to 745 of the family's 1478-position model. The record is from RNAcentral.